This 75-nucleotide transfer RNA is filed under the name Desulfovibrio desulfuricans. RNAcentral's name for it is "tRNA-Cys". It matches the Rfam family "tRNA". Rfam says of the family: Transfer RNA (tRNA) molecules are approximately 80 nucleotides in length. Their secondary structure includes four short double-helical elements and three loops (D, anti-codon, and T loops). Lineage: Bacteria; Pseudomonadati; Thermodesulfobacteriota; Desulfovibrionia; Desulfovibrionales; Desulfovibrionaceae. The record is from RNAcentral. RNAcentral also lists the same sequence under 17 other names.
GGUUCCAUGGCCAAGUUGGUAAGGCAACAGACUGCAACUCUGUUAUCAUCGGUUCGAGUCCGGUUGGAACCUCCA